This 253-nucleotide ribosomal RNA is filed under the name uncultured bacterium. RNAcentral's name for it is "partial 16S ribosomal RNA". It matches the Rfam family "Bacterial small subunit ribosomal RNA", at positions 524 to 776 of the family's 1533-position model. The record is from RNAcentral.
UACGAAGGGGGCUAGCGUUGUUCGGAAUUACUGGGCGUAAAGGGCGCGUAGGCGGUGUGUCAAGUCAGGCGUGAAAGCCCCGGGCUCAACCUGGGAACAGCGCUUGAGACUGGCACGCUCGAGUUCGGGAGAGGAUGGUGGAAUUCCCAGUGUAGAGGUGAAAUGCGUAGAUAUCAGGAGGAAUACCGGUGGCGAAAGCGACUCUCUGGACGGCAACUGACGCUGAGGCACGAAAGCGUGGGGAGCAAACAGG